CCUACGGGGGGCUGCAGUGGGGAAUAUUGCACAAUGGGGGAAACCCUGAUGCAGCAACGCCGCGUGAGCGAUGAAGGCCUUCGGGUCGUAAAGCUCUGUCCUAAGGGAAGAAUACUGACGGUACCUUAGGAGGAAGCCCCGGCUAACUACGUGCCAGAAGCCGCGGUAAAACGUAGGGGGCUAGCGGUAUCCGGAAUUACUGGGCGUAAAGGGUGCGUAGGCAGCCCCUCAAGUCAGAGGUGAAAGGCUACGGCGCAACCGGAGUAAGCCUUUGAAACUGUAGGGCUUGAGGGCAGGAGAGGGGAGUGGAAUUCCCAGUGGAGAGGUGAAAUGCGUAGAUGUUGGGAGGAACACCAGUUGCGAAGGCGGCUCUCUGGACUGUAACUGACGCUGGGGCACGAAAGCGUGGGGAGCAAACAGGAUUAGAUACCCUGGUAGUC
This 440-nucleotide ribosomal RNA is filed under the name uncultured bacterium. RNAcentral describes it as "bacterial SSU rRNA". It matches the Rfam family "Bacterial small subunit ribosomal RNA", at positions 338 to 795 of the family's 1533-position model. The record is from RNAcentral.